This 253-nucleotide ribosomal RNA is filed under the name uncultured bacterium. RNAcentral describes it as "partial 16S ribosomal RNA". It matches the Rfam family "Bacterial small subunit ribosomal RNA", at positions 524 to 776 of the family's 1533-position model. The record is from RNAcentral.
UACAGAGGGGGCAAGCGUUAUUCGGAAUUAUUGGGCGUAAAGGGCGCGUAGGCGGCCUUUCAAGUCUCUCGUGAAAUCCCUCGGCUUAACCGAGGACGUGCGGGAGAUACUGUCAGGCUUGAGUCCGGGAGAGGGUGGUGGAAUUCCCAGUGUAGCGGUGAAAUGCGUAGAUAUUGGGAGGAACACCGGUGGCGAAGGCGGCCACCUGGGCCGGAACUGACGCUGAGGCGCGAAAGCGUGGGUAGCAAACGGG